UGACCUCGGAUCAGGUAGGGAUACCCGCUGAACUUAAGCAUAUCAAUAAGCGGAGGAAAAGAAACCAACCGGGAUUGCCUCAGUAACGGCGAGUGAAGCGGCAACAGCUCAAAUUUGAAAUCUGGCCGUUCCGCGGUCCGAGUUGUAAUUUGGAGAGGAUGCUUCGGGUGCGGCGCCGGUCUAAGUUCCUUGGAACAGGACGUCAUAGAGGGUGAGAAUCCCGUACGUGACCGGCGACCCAGCCCGUGUGAAGCUCCUUCGACGAGUCGAGUUGUUUGGGAAUGCAGCUCUAAAUGGGUGGUAAAUUUCAUCUAAAGCUAAAUACCGGCCAGAGACCGAUAGCGCACAAGUAGAGUGAUCGAAAGAUGAAAAGCACUUUGGAAAGAGAGUUAAAAAGUACGUGAAAUUGUUGAAAGGGAAGCGCUUGCCACCAGACUUGCUCGCGGGUGAUCAGCCGUCCUUCUGGGCGGUGCACUCGCCCGCGAUCAGGCCAGCAUCGGUCUGGGCGGCCGGAUAAAGGCCCCGGGAAUGUGUCUCCCCCCGGGGAGUGUUAUAGCCGGGGUGCAAUGCGGCCAGCCCGGACCGAGACCGCGCUCGCU
This 599-nucleotide ribosomal RNA is filed under the name Umbilicaria phaea. RNAcentral describes it as "eukaryotic LSU rRNA". It matches the Rfam family "Eukaryotic large subunit ribosomal RNA", at positions 1 to 604 of the family's 3401-position model. The record is from RNAcentral. Lineage: Eukaryota; Fungi; Ascomycota; Lecanoromycetes; Umbilicariales; Umbilicariaceae.